AGCCCAGAGGACCCGGUGCACUGGGGUGCGGGCGCUCCCGCACGCACGCGGCGGGCUGGGUGGCGCGCGCUUCCCCUCCCCCCGCGGCCCCAGAGCGCGAACUGUGACGUCACGGACCUCCCGCCGGCCCCGCUCUCCACCGGGCCGAGCGCGUGCGGCCGCCGAGCACAUGGGCCCUUGGGCUGUGCGCGCUCUGGGCGGCCUGGACCCGGAGGAACAGCAGGGGCCGGGAGCGAGGAUGGGCCCUGGUACCCCUCGGCACCCCCCCGGAGUGGAGCUCCACGCGGAAAGGAUGUUGGCGGCCCCGGUGACAUGGCUUGGAUCCACCUUCCAAUAAGGAAACUGAAGCCUCAGAGAUAUCCAGUACUAAGCCCAAGGUCACGCAGCUGGCCUGAUCUUAUGACCAGAAAGGAAUGAAAAGGACACCCUUCCGGACUGAUGGCCAUCCCUGUCCACUGCAUGGAGCGUCCUUCAAGGAUUUCCUGAGCCGUGUGGAUUUACAAUGAUAUUCAGCUGCCUGGGGAAUCACGCCGGUGCAGGAACCUUCCCUGGAAUUACGCACACCCGGCACGUUUCUGGAUGCCGAAGGUGGUGGGAAGCAAGGUCCCCGCGGAGUGCUUUGUGGAUUCCUGCAGCCCGGAUGCUCGAGGGGGAUGGAGGACCACAGCUUCCUGUGCAGGCUGAGCUCUUACCUCGGACAGGAAUGUUUGGUCGGGUCUUUCCAGGCCCCCGUGGGGGCUCCCUAGGAAACAAUCCUGUUACCUGGAAUGUAGGUGCCUUUAAUCUGGGGAAAAAAAGAAAAACCCAACACGUGUCCAUUCAACACUCCGGAGGGAUGUGAGAACUGGCCUUCCCUGAACUGAAAUUGUAAUGCCUUGAGAUCUGGACAAUUCAGUGUGGCGUGGUGAACUGAUGACAUGGCCCCGGCUCUUCAGCCGCUCCCUGCUUCUCUGAUGCUGGACUGGAGUACAGGACUUGCUUUGUCCACGGGGGCAUUAACAGACACAUUGCAAGCAGAACUUUGACAAAGCAUUUCCAUUUGCACUGUUGGACUUCCGCCGUCACCAAGAGAAGGACGUUCUGAGCUAGCGUUCCGGCUCCCGGAGAAGGAUGAGAGACACAUAGAACAUAACGAUGGUGCUCUAAUCCUCCGAGGGAGACCAGCCUAGACCAGCUGACCGCCAGCCACUCCUAGACCCCUGAGUGAGCCCAGCCAAGAUCAUCUGAGCUGCCUGCCUGGCCACCCAAGUGCAUGGACACUUAGUGCUUGUGCCGCUGAGGUUUUGUUGUUACAUGGCAUUUUUAAGUGAUAAAUGCAAUGGGAAUAUCAAGAAUAACUAUUUGAUGACUUGAAUUCUCCAAGGCGGGGGUUACCUGGCCCUCAGUGUAUUGUUUGCUAUAUCAGGUCCCUUUUGUUGAGUGAUUGGCCAACAAGGACAAAUCUGGUAGCCCCUCUGUGAAUGCACUCAGCACCUGACCUUGCCUGCUUCCUCUGCUCAUGAACAUCUCUCUGUUCAGCUGGGAUGGCUGCUUAUCCCCAUCCACUGGGUUUUCUGUUACAGCAGAGGUGCCGUUUGUUGGACAAGUACAGAGUGAGUGAGGCAGCGAAUGGGAGAGAGAGAAAGUCUGCAUGUGUGUGCAUGUGUGUUGGGGAGUGGAGUAGCUGAAGUCCUAGCUUUGAACAGAACUGUAGUUUCUGCUGAUCUACUGAAUAACUUGGGUCUUAACCCGCAA
Molecule: long non-coding RNA, 1734 nt
Organism: Phyllostomus hastatus (greater spear-nosed bat)
Lineage: Eukaryota; Metazoa; Chordata; Mammalia; Chiroptera; Phyllostomidae
Exons: 5
Source: RefSeq, a predicted model, not a curated record